Long non-coding RNA from Sycon ciliatum, 1388 nucleotides. RefSeq lists it as uncharacterized. The transcript has 4 exons. NCBI's taxonomy places the organism in Eukaryota, Metazoa, Porifera, Calcarea, Leucosolenida, Sycettidae. The record is from RefSeq and is a predicted model, not a curated record.
AGUCCGAAAUGUUUUGGAUUUGCUUUGAUUGUUGUACUUGUAGACAUCACUUUUUGGCAUAACCAUGGAUCCCCCAUGGAGUCGUAGAUAGUCCAAUGCCUGGUCACAACCGUUGCGAGGAGCACACGUGUGUAUUUUUCCAUCGUCGAGUCGUGCUCGCGGGGACACCCCUAGGAUCUUCUCGAUUUCCGUCAAUCAAUCAGUCGAUCUAUUUAUUUCAGGACUACAACUACAGUACAGCUUUCUACCGCGAAGCCCAAGAUGCAAGGUCAGGCUGAACCAAACAUGCCGGGCAAGGUCAACUGCUGACUUGGCAAGUUUCUGAUUGGAGCUUGAUAUAGGCUGUGUAACCAGCAUGGUGUGUGCUAUAAUUCCGGUACAAGUAGUGUUUGGUAUGGUAGCCUCCGUAGGCUGGAGGAAGCGGGUUGGCAGGUAGGGCGUGACCUGUGAUUCAAGCCGUGCCUGUGAGCUCUCUCAAGGACUACAUCCCAGGCAAUGCUCACCUACCAUGUCUGACCCAGUUUUGGAGUUUCCGGCAAAGCAUGGCCUGACCAGCAAGGUCUAUACUAAACCACUCACUUGCAGAUGGGUGUGGUCGUUCCUUGUCACCCGAGGCCGGUAUAUCAGCACGCAGCUCAACCUGGUCCAGAUUGAUCAGGACCUAGUAAACAGUGGGAAUCAUUACCACAAGAAACAUUAGCAUUACUUACCAACAGCCACGCAUGCUAAGUGAAUUUUGACAGUUCUUGGCGAAGGCAGCAAGAAACUACCCCCUGCUUCUGCCCUCUCCUGGGCUGAGACUUCCCAACCUUGAUGCAGCCUUACCUCAUUCUCUUUCAUUGGCUUGAGUCGUUCUGAUUCCUGUUACAACACACAGCACACAUGAAUUAUUUACAGUUCAGACCAAGGCCGUCAGCAAAGUUUAACAAAGUAUUGAUUUCAGUUAGGUCUCAUUUCAUUCUCCACUACCAUCAGCUUGAUUUGCGUUCAAUUAUUAUUUUUUAAAUGGAAACUCCAAAUCCACUCACCCCAAGUGAAAGUUUUUGUUCAGAAAAAAUCAAACAAUUGGUAUCCUUGUAUGGUCCCUGAGCCUACAACGAGAAACCAGCCAUACGUACAUGUAUUGUGGCUAAAUUCAAACAUGCUGUUGGUCGUGCAGGAUUUAAAAUUACUUGCACCUUAUGAAUCCACCAUUGCAGUGGUCAUCAUACAUGCAUGCAGCCAUGGCAGGGUGAGAGUGUCGGAGUGCCAUCAGACUGACAAUGCUAUCAUCACUACUUGUAGUUUGUACACGUGGCUAUUCCUGUGCUUACAUUGUCAAUGAUCGUCUUCUUAUGGUUGAUGAAAUGUUGCUGGCUGGCCGUUUUGGGACGAGUCACGCCAAGUGU